Molecule: ribosomal RNA, 93 nt
Filed under: uncultured bacterium
Lineage: Bacteria
Description: partial 16S ribosomal RNA
Rfam family: Bacterial small subunit ribosomal RNA
Source: RNAcentral
CCGCCCGUCACACCAUGGGAGUUGAUUGCUCCAGAAGUGCCUGAGCUAACCGCAAGGAAGCAGGGUCCCAAGGAGUGGUUGAUGACUGGGGUG